Molecule: ribosomal RNA, 395 nt
Filed under: uncultured bacterium
Lineage: Bacteria
Description: bacterial SSU rRNA
Rfam family: Bacterial small subunit ribosomal RNA
Source: RNAcentral
UAAGACAGAGGUGGCGAGCGUUGUUCGGAAUUACUGGGCUUAAAGGGCGAGUAGGCGGUGGGACAAGUCUGAUGUGGAAUCCUAAGGCUUAACCAUAGAACUGCAUUAGAAACUGUUUUACUUGAGUCAGUGAGGGGAGGGCGGAAUUCCUGGUGUAGCGGUGAAAUGCGUAGAUAUCAGGAGGAAGGCCGGUGGCGAAGGCGGCCCUCUGGCACUGUACUGACGCUGAGGCGCGAAAGCGUGGGGAGCAAACAGGAUUAGAUACCCUGGUAGUCCACGCCCUAAACGGUGGGCAUUAGGUGUAGGGCUCGUAAGGGUUCUGUGCCGAAGGGAAACCAUUAAAUGCCCCGCCUGGGGAAUACGGCCGCAAGGUUGAAACUUAAAGGAAUUGACGG